Molecule: long non-coding RNA, 665 nt
Organism: Humulus lupulus (European hop)
Lineage: Eukaryota; Viridiplantae; Streptophyta; Magnoliopsida; Rosales; Cannabaceae
Exons: 2
Source: RefSeq, a predicted model, not a curated record
CACUAAAGGCUCAAUUGUUUCUUCAACCAAGAGAAGGGGGAAAGAGAGGGUAGGGUUGGUCGGCACUGUGGAAGACGCAGGGAAUGCUAAGCACCAACGUUGGGGCUGAGGACGGGAAAGAUCUAGUGUGCCGUUGAGGUCCACUGCCAGGAACGCGAAGCACCAACGUCGGUUGUCUUCUCCAUCGCUCGCGAGGCUUGGUGGCUUCAUAUCGUUGGCAUGCCCAGGGAGUGACGGGAUCGAUGCUGGAGCUAGGAAGACGUGAAGGUGAGGCAGGUCGGCAUUGUGGAAGACGCGAGGCUGGUGUCCACACUGCAGAUUGAAUAUGAAGGCGAUGGUGAAUGCGAUCGUGAGUUUCAGCUUUUCUCUCUGAGUUGACUUGGUGGGAAUGUUACAAAGGCAAUAUAAUGGUGAAUGCAAUGGUGAGUUUCAGCUCUUCUCUCCGGUGAAAAUGGUGGUGGUUGACGCGAUCUCAGCGCCUGCUUUCUGAAAUGGGGUUUUGCCCUUAAAAUUUAUGGGUAUUGAUUGAACAUUAGUGGUAUUUUCCUUUUUUAACAAUCUGGGUUUGUGCUGGGUAUUGAUUGUACAUUAGUGGUAUUUUCUUUGUUCAUAAAAUUUUUGGGUUUGAGUAAUAUUGUUGAAUGUGAUAUCUGAUUUUGGAGUUA